Molecule: transfer RNA, 69 nt
Filed under: Ictidomys tridecemlineatus (thirteen-lined ground squirrel)
Lineage: Eukaryota; Metazoa; Chordata; Mammalia; Rodentia; Sciuridae
Description: Spermophilus tridecemlineatus (thirteen-lined ground squirrel) tRNA
Rfam family: tRNA
About the family: Transfer RNA (tRNA) molecules are approximately 80 nucleotides in length. Their secondary structure includes four short double-helical elements and three loops (D, anti-codon, and T loops). Further hydrogen bonds mediate the characteristic L-shaped molecular structure. tRNAs have two regions of fundamental functional importance: the anti-codon, which is responsible for specific mRNA codon recognition, and the 3' end, to which the tRNAs corresponding amino acid is attached (by aminoacyl-tRNA synthetases). tRNAs cope with the degeneracy of the genetic code in two manners: having more than one tRNA (with a specific anti-codon) for a particular amino acid; and 'wobble' base-pairing, i.e. permitting non-standard base-pairing at the 3rd anti-codon position.
Source: Rfam by way of RNAcentral
GGGGUUGUGGCUCAGCAAUAGAGCGCUCACCUAGUGCGUGAGAGGCCCUGAGUUUGAUUCUCAGCACCA